CCUACGGGAGGCAGCAGUAGGGAAUCUUUCACAAUGGGCGAAAGCCUGAUGGAGCAACGCCGCGUGCAGGAUGAAGGCCCUCGGGUUGUAAACUGCUUUUAUAAGCGAGCAAUAUGAUGGUAACUUAUUAAUAAGGAUCGGCUAACUACGUGACAGCAGACGCGGUCAUACGUAGGAGCCGAGCAUUAUCCGGCGUGACUGGGUGUAAAAAGUUGCGUAGGUGGGAUAAUAAGUAGCUAGUGAAAUCGGGUGGCUCAACCAUUCAGACUAUUAGCUAAACUGUUAAGCUCGAGACCGUUAGGGGUAAGUGGAAUUUAUAGUGUAGGAGUGAAAUCCGUAGAUAUUAGAAGGAACACCAAUAGCGUAGGCAGGUUACUGGGACAGUUCUGACACUAAGGCACGAAAGCGUAGGGAGCAAACGGGAUUAGAUACCCCUGUAGUC
Molecule: ribosomal RNA, 442 nt
Filed under: uncultured bacterium
Lineage: Bacteria
Description: partial 16S ribosomal RNA
Rfam family: Bacterial small subunit ribosomal RNA
Source: RNAcentral